This 97-nucleotide microRNA precursor is filed under the name Pelodiscus sinensis (Chinese soft-shelled turtle). RNAcentral describes it as "miRNA (ENSPSIG00000019579.1)". Lineage: Eukaryota; Metazoa; Chordata; Testudines; Trionychidae. The record is from RNAcentral.
GGGAACUGGGUGUGUGUGUGUGUGUGUGUGUGUGUGUGUGUGUGUGUGUGCGCGCGCGCGCACCGGCUCCUGUAGAGCCACCUAUCCCUCCUUCCCU